RNAcentral lists this non-coding RNA (21 nucleotides) under Arabidopsis thaliana (thale cress). The record is from RNAcentral. Lineage: Eukaryota; Viridiplantae; Streptophyta; Magnoliopsida; Brassicales; Brassicaceae.
UCCACUCGAGCGAUACGGGCC